Molecule: ribosomal RNA, 397 nt
Filed under: uncultured bacterium
Lineage: Bacteria
Description: bacterial SSU rRNA
Rfam family: Bacterial small subunit ribosomal RNA
Source: RNAcentral
AUUGAACGCUGGCGGAAUGCUUUACACAUGCAAGUCGAACGGCAGCACGGGUGCUUGCACCUGGUGGCGAGUGGCGAACGGGUGAGUAAUGCACCGGAACGUAUCCAAUAAUGGGGGAUAACGCACCGAAAGGUGUGCUAAUACCGCAUACGCCCUGAGGGGGAAAGCGGGGGGAUCGUAAGACCUCGCGUUAAUGGAGCGGCCGAUGCCGGAUUAGCUAGUUGGUGAGGUAAAGGCUCACCAAGGCGACGAUCCGUAGCUGGUCUGAGAGGACGACCAGCCACACUGGAACUGAGACACGGUCCAGACUCCUACGGGAGGCAGCAGUGGGGAAUUUUGGACAAUGGGCGCAAGCCUGAUCCAGCCAUUCCGCGUGAGUGAAGAAGGCCUUCGGGUU